GACGAACGCUGGCGGCGCGCCUAACACAUGCAAGUCGAACGAGAGAUGAGGAGCUUGCUCUUCAGAUCGAGUGGCGAACGGGUGAGUAACGCGUGAGGAACCUGCCUCAAAGAGGGGGACAACAGUUGGAACGACUGCUAAUACCGCAUAAGCCCACGGCUCGGCAUCGAGCAGAGGGAAAGGAGCAAUCCGCUUUGAGAUGGCCUCGCGUCCGAUUAGCUUGUUGGUGAGGUAACGGCCCACCAAGGCGACGAUCAGUAGCCGACUUGAGAGAGUGAUCGGCCACAUUGGGACUGAGACACGGCCCAAACUCCUACGGGAGGCAGCAGUAGGGAAUAUUGCACAAUGGGGGAAACCCUGAUGCAGCGACGCCGCGUGAAGGAAGAAGUAUUUCGGUAUGUAAACUUCUAUCAGCAAGGAGAAAAUGACGGUACUUGACUAAGAAGCCCCCGGCUAAAAUACGUGCCAGCAGCCG
RNAcentral lists this ribosomal RNA (475 nucleotides) under uncultured bacterium. RNAcentral's name for it is "bacterial SSU rRNA". It matches the Rfam family "Bacterial small subunit ribosomal RNA", at positions 28 to 517 of the family's 1533-position model. The record is from RNAcentral.